Danio rerio (zebrafish) is the source of this 115-nucleotide non-coding RNA. The record is from Rfam. Lineage: Eukaryota; Metazoa; Chordata; Actinopteri; Cypriniformes; Danionidae.
AUCGGCAGCUCGCUCUUUGCAACUCUCACAUGGUCGCCCACUGAAGCUAAGCAGGGCUGUGCCCAGUCAGUACUUGGAUGGGAGACCACAUGGGAAAGCUAGGUGGCUGCCGGAA